CCUACGGGAGGCUGCAGUCGAGAAUCUUCGGCAAUGGGCGCAAGCCUGACCGAGCGACGCCGCGUGGAGGAUGAAGGCCUUCGGGUUGUAAACUCCUGUCGAGGGGGAGGAAGUCCCGAGCAAUCGGGGUUGACCGAUCCCUGGAGGAAGCACGGGCUAAGUUCGUGCCAGCAGCCGCGGUAAGACGAACCGUGCGAACGUUAUUCGGAAUCACUGGGCUUAAAGCGCGUGUAGGCGGAUGGGAACGUCGGUAGUUGAAAGCCCCCGGCUCAACCGGGGAAGUGGUGCCGAAACGACCCGUCUGGAGGGACGUAGGGGGACCUGGAACUUCCGGUGGAGCGGUGAAAUGCGUUGAGAUCGGAAGGAACGCCCGUGGCGAAAGCGAGGUCCUGGACGUCUACUGACGCUGAGACGCGAAAGCUAGGGGAGCAAACGGGAUU
RNAcentral lists this ribosomal RNA (440 nucleotides) under uncultured bacterium. RNAcentral describes it as "bacterial SSU rRNA". It matches the Rfam family "Bacterial small subunit ribosomal RNA", at positions 338 to 779 of the family's 1533-position model. The record is from RNAcentral.